RNAcentral lists this ribosomal RNA (255 nucleotides) under uncultured bacterium. RNAcentral describes it as "partial 16S ribosomal RNA". It matches the Rfam family "Bacterial small subunit ribosomal RNA", at positions 524 to 776 of the family's 1533-position model. The record is from RNAcentral.
UACGUAGGGUGCAAGCGUUAUCCGGAAUUAUUGGGCGUAAAGAGCUCGUAGGCGGUUUGUCGCGUCUGCUGUGAAAACUGGAGGCUCAACCUCCAGCCUGCAGUGGGUACGGGCAGACUAGAGUGCGGUAGGGGAGAUUGGAAUUCCUGGUGUAGCGGUGGAAUGCGCAGAUAUCAGGAGGAACACCGAUGGCGAAGGCAGGUCUCUGGGCCACUACUGACGCUGAGAAGCGAAAAGCAUGGGGGAGCGAACAGG